Molecule: long non-coding RNA, 277 nt
Filed under: Physcomitrium patens
Lineage: Eukaryota; Viridiplantae; Streptophyta; Bryopsida; Funariales; Funariaceae
Description: long non-coding RNA (PPAT_LNC000449)
Source: RNAcentral
UACUACAAGGUUGCUAUGUGCUUCCUAUUAUUUAUAAUUUGUAUUAUUUUUUUUAGAUUCUUUUUUUUAAAAAAUUAUACUUCAUAAUAUACCACUUUAUUUUCUAAUAUGGAUUUAAACAUUGUUCAAUCAAGAAAUCAAGAUUCUUAUUUAUGUUGAAUUUUUUUAUGCAAUAGUUACUCUAUAGUUAUAAAAUCACUAUCUUUUUCAUUUCAUUCAGCCUUUAAAAUUGUUGCACUUGUAAUUACACCAUAGAAUCUACUAACUUAUCCAGCAC